RNAcentral lists this ribosomal RNA (253 nucleotides) under uncultured bacterium. RNAcentral's name for it is "partial 16S ribosomal RNA". It matches the Rfam family "Bacterial small subunit ribosomal RNA", at positions 524 to 776 of the family's 1533-position model. The record is from RNAcentral.
GACAGAGGGUGCAAGCGUUGUUCGGAAUUACUGGGCGUAAAGCGUGCGUAGGCGGUUUUUUAAGUCAGGCGUGAAAGACCUGGGCUCAACCCAGGAAGUGCGUUUGAUACUGGAAAGCUUGAGACCGAGAGAGGUGAGUGGAAUUCCUAGUGUAGAGGUGAAAUUCGUAGAGAUUAGGAGGAACAUCAGUGGCGAAGGCGGCUCACUGGCUCGGUACUGACGCUAAGGCACGAAAGCGUGGGGAGCAAACAGG